CACGCAAUUGUCUUAUGCUUUUUCCAGUACCCAAUAUUCGAAUGUUAGUGUAUUGUUCCUCGUAUUGGUCGUUUCGCAAUUGUUUCUGCCCACAUAAGAGCAUACAGCACUUACUUGCAUACAAACAUGCGUUAUAUCGCUGAGCAGUAAAUUGCUCUUUGAAUAUGCGUUCAUGUUUCUUUGGCACAGCUCGCUCUCACCAAAAGCUUUUGUGGUUCAUAUGAUUCGACAGAACGAUGAGUUGGGGGCAUACGGAAGAGGUAUGUGCUUGCAAUUCCUCGACAAACUUAUCUACACAAGCAUAACUAUUGGUUAUAUGUAUGUACAUACAGAUGUGUGUAAAUUUCCAUAAAUAUCAAUAUGUGCAUUUUAUUAUGGAAUAAGACUACACGAGUGUAUAUAUGUAUGUAUGUUACAUAUAUUUAUAUGCAUAAAAGUAUGUAGGUCUUUGAGUAGUGUUGUACAUUUUAUUUGGAGCAUUGAGAGCGAGAGUGUGCCACCAGACCAAAGUGUUGGCAAAAUGUAUUACGAUUGGUUGGGCGGUGGGGAGCGCAUAUCAUCAAAAGCCGAACUAGUGGAAUAGUAUACGAAUGUUAUGUGUGCCAUCGUACGUGCAUACAUAUCCAUUUAAAUAUAUAUAUAUGUAUAUUUCAAUCAAUUGCAAUAUGAAUGCUGCCAAAAAUUGCAUUGCAUCUUUGCAGCGCUGCGACAGUGUAGUUAGCAUUGAGGCUCAAAAAAUUGGCAGCGCUGUUGGCGCACCUGAAUGAGAUGGCCAACAGUUGUGUAGUAGAGUUAAUUUAGUGAGAGCGCAAAAGUAAUAUGCAUGCGCUAGUUUACUAGUUGAUGACGACGAUUAUUGCGACACUGACGAUGACGAUGAUGACGACGACGACGACGACGACGUUGGCGAUGGCAGCGCCGUUGACAACAUACGUACAGAGGUACGAACAGCGACGCUUGCUAUUUAGUAGCUACAAUCAUAUUGCUUUACGUACGGAGUACUGCGUGAAUCCUAGCGUUUGCUUGGGUUUAGUCAAUCGAGAUUCGCGGUUGAUGUUGGUCGUGUUUUCGGCAAAAAUUUCUUCUACUGAACAACAAACAUAACAAAAUAACAAAGAGUACAGAUAUAAAUACUAAAUAUUGUAUAAAGAGUUCACCAUAUAGAAAAAAUAUUAAUACAAAGCAACAACAAUAAAAUAUAGUGUCAGCGUUUCUUACCUGCCUCAAGAUUCAAUUCAAAUACAAACUUUAAAAAUUUUCAACGCCAAGUAAAGCCAUAACUUACAAUAUCUUUCAGAACAAUCUAUGAAUAAAAAAAAAAACAAAAUUCAAAAUAAAUAAGCAACCGAAAGAAACCAAAGGCUUGCAAAAUGAUACUCUCGGUAGCGAACAACUAACUAAUAAAAAUUAACUCAAAAUAAAUAGCACCAAACCACAGCACACAGCGGAAGCAGUUAAGUCCGUGGCACGGCAAGCAGCAACACAGCAAGAAAGAUUGAAACCACAACAACAGCAACUAUAAUAAAAUUCAAAAAAAAAAAAAAAGUAAUAUGAAAAAUAAAUAAAAACAAGCAGUAACUAAUGAAACCAACAACUAAAUAACAAGAACGCGAACAAAAUCGUCUACUAAGAAA
RNAcentral lists this long non-coding RNA (1634 nucleotides) under Ceratitis capitata (Mediterranean fruit fly). Its description in RNAcentral is "uncharacterized LOC105665493, transcript variant X1". The record is from RNAcentral. Lineage: Eukaryota; Metazoa; Arthropoda; Insecta; Diptera; Tephritidae.